GGGAAGUCAAAUUUGCUAAACACCAAGGCAAUGUACCAUUGAGAUCGUUAUAACCAAUAUCUAGAACUUGAAGAUGUUCCAACUUGCAUAUGCCUUGAAACAAAGUGCCUCUGAGUCCACUACCAUACAAUGAUAAAGUCUUAAGAGAGGUCAUAUUUGAUAUAAUUUGCAGGAAGUUGUUGCUGGUAGUAGAAUAAGUCAUGUACAAGUGUUCCAGCUUCUUGAAAUUGGGCAAGCCUUGAGCAGAUAUCAUUGAUUUGA
RNAcentral lists this unclassified non-coding RNA (261 nucleotides) under Hevea brasiliensis (rubber tree). The record is from RNAcentral. Lineage: Eukaryota; Viridiplantae; Streptophyta; Magnoliopsida; Malpighiales; Euphorbiaceae.